AUCGAACGCUGGCGGCAGGCCUAACACAUGCAAGUCGGACGGUAGCACAGAGAGCUUGCUCUUGGGUGACGAGUGGCGGACGGGUGAGUAAUGUCUGGGGAUCUGCCCGAUAGAGGGGGAUAACCACUGGAAACGGUGGCUAAUACCGCAUAACGUCGCAAGACCAAAGAGGGGGACCUUCGGGCCUCUCACUAUCGGAUGAACCCAGAUGGGAUUAGCUAGUAGGCGGGGUAAUGGCCCACCUAGGCGACGAUCCCUAGCUGGUCUGAGAGGAUGACCAGCCACACUGGAACUGAGACACGGUCCAGACUCCUACGGGAGGCAGCAGUGGGGAAUAUUGCACAAUGGGCGCAAGCCUGAUGCAGCCAUGCCGCGUGUAUGAAGAAGGCCUUCGGGUUGUAAAGUACUUUCAGCGGGGAGGAAGGCGGUGCGGUUAAUAACCGUACCGAUUGACGUUACCCGCAGAAGAAGCACCGGCUAACUCCGUGCCAGCCGCCGCUGUAA
This 504-nucleotide ribosomal RNA is filed under the name uncultured bacterium. RNAcentral's name for it is "partial 16S ribosomal RNA". It matches the Rfam family "Bacterial small subunit ribosomal RNA", at positions 29 to 523 of the family's 1533-position model. The record is from RNAcentral.